CCUGGGCAGGUUGCUUGCUCUUCCUGUGCUUCAGUGCUUUCGCCUGUGAAGCGGAGGCGACAGGGCCUACGUUGCAGGGCUGCUGUGCAGGCGGGACAGAAAAUGAGCAAGUAAGUGAGUGAGUGCCGCAUAGGAAUGUCACGUGGCCAGGAGGACCGAGAGGGGGCCCGGAAGACUUGACGUUGUAGACGGGGUGGCCAAGGAGGGCCUCACUGAAGAGGGGGCAUCGGCGUAAAGGCCUGAAGGAUGUGAGGGUGUGAGGCACACAGAUAUCGAGUGAAGUGAUCGAAGCAGGACCAACAGCCAGUGCAAAGGCCCUGAAGGCCUGGCUGCUCUAGGAGACAGGAUCCUUCUGGCGGCCGCUGGGGCAGAGGCGGGGAGCACAGGACGGAGGCUACUGCAGCCGUCCAGGCAAGAGGGCGUGGGGGCUGGACCAGGGGCAGCAGUGGGGCUGGAAGCAGUUGGCUCUCUUCUGGAUAGACUUCAAAGGUCCACCCAGCACAGAGAGAUGUCAGAAAGACGCCUAGGUUUGGUCGAGGCACCUGGAAGACGGGAGGAUGGGGAGGUGGAGAAAGCUGGGUCAGGGCAGAUGUGGACCUGGGGGGCUGCGCAGUGAAAGCAGCUGAGGAGGAGGCUGGGAGCAGAGGCCCAUGGGGGACACGGCGCAGGCACCCCGUUGGGGAUGCAUGAGUGGGAGGGGGCAAGUGUAGAUGGCCGUGAGGACAGCGGCAGCCCGUGGUGCGCAGCCAGCUAGGACGGACGGAUGCUGACAUCAUUUGUCAACUCGGGGUCCAGGGGAGGGGCCUGGACGCAGCUCCGGAACGCGGGCCGGGGAGGCGACGCCGGGGGAGCCUGGGCGGCUGGGGGCCGCAGCCCUCCCCUCCCCCUCGCCACCUGCGGGGUCGGUCAGACCCGGCCUUUGUCCCGCGCCGAAGCCCCGCCGCCCCGCGCCGCGCCCCCCGAGCAAACACA
Balaenoptera ricei (Rice's whale) is the source of this 972-nucleotide long non-coding RNA. RefSeq lists it as uncharacterized. NCBI's taxonomy places the organism in Eukaryota, Metazoa, Chordata, Mammalia, Artiodactyla, Balaenopteridae. The record is from RefSeq and is a predicted model, not a curated record. The transcript is spliced from 3 exons.